Long non-coding RNA from Mesocricetus auratus (golden hamster), 2552 nucleotides. RefSeq lists it as uncharacterized. NCBI's taxonomy places the organism in Eukaryota, Metazoa, Chordata, Mammalia, Rodentia, Cricetidae. The record is from RefSeq and is a predicted model, not a curated record. The transcript is spliced from 2 exons.
UCCUGUUGUCUUUGGCGUUCCUGGUCUGUGCGCAAUCCAGGCAGCCUCACUCCAGCCCCCCGAGGCAAAGAGCAAGAUUCUAAGAAGUGAAAAAGCAAGUAAGACUCCAGGAUUCGUCGAGGGAGACCCCACCUCAGGUCCUGGAGACCCGGUACCAGCACUGUUGGAUCUGCCAGAUCAGAAAGAGGCAGAAGACAAGUAGAUUACCGCAGCACCGGGGAUCCCUGCAGCUUUGAUCCUGUGGCAAUAGGCCCCUUACUGGCUCCCACUCAGGGCCCUGGAAUGGACCCACCACGGCACAGGCUCCCAGAAGAAGUAGCAACAUGGCAAAGCUUAGGUCAGGUGGAUGGUGUUUUGGGGAGUGGGAAGGAAACACUGAUGUAACUGGCUUAGUCAGUUUGGGGUGGGGUACCCCUUACUUCAUAGUACCUCUGUCACUGAGGCCACCUCACAAAGGAGCCUGCUGCUGCUGCUCUUACAACUCUAGCUAAUAGUUCUGGCUAACAGGCCCUGGGUAGAGGAAACCUCUCCUAGGAAGACUAGCCUCAGACAAGAACUGGUGUGUUAUGCCUCCAUGUGACCAAAUGUCUAAAUAGCAGCCUGGGUAUAUUUCAGACCUGCUCAGCUUUCCCUGACCUUGGUUCUAGAGCCUUCACCAAGGACAGUGAGGGAAGUUCCAUCUGUAACUCAGGUCCAUAAACCUGUGCCCAGCCAAGCAAUGGUGGUGCACUCCUUUAAUCCCAACGCUCGGGAGACAGAGACAGAAGAAUCUCUGUGAGUUCGAGGCCAGUCUGGUCUACAAAGAGAGUUCCAGGACAGGCUCCAAAAGCUACAGAGAAACCCUGUCCUGGGGGAAAAAAAUCUGUGCCCAGGUAGUGACUGAUAAGUUAGGGUGAUCCCUCAGCCUCUCAUGGAAAUGACAACUAGGCAGAGAACUUUUAAUUUAAAGGAUCUCAGUGGUAUACUAAAAGCUUGCCUCAUUGAUGGGUUGUUGGGUACAUUUGGACAAAAGGAAUAGCGUCUUAUGUUCUACAGCACAGCAGGAUAACUAUGAUUGGUAAGGACUCACUGAAUUUUUUGUUUCUGUUUCUUGAGACAGACCUUUCUAAAUAGCUCAGACUGUCCUCAAAUUCACACUGAUCCUCUUGCCUCACACUGAAUAAGUUAGUAAGAGGACCCUAGGAGCAAAACUACCUUGGCCAGGCUUCAUCAUAUCACAUGAGGUUCUUUUUUUUUUUUUUUUUUUGGUUUUUUACGAGACAGGGUUUCUCUGUAUUGUUUUGGAGGCUAUCGGUCCAGCCCAGCCUCAAACUCACAGAGAUCCGCCUGCCUCUGCCUCCUGAGUGCUGGGAUUAAAGGCGUGCGCCACCACCGCCCGGCAGCACAUGAGGUUCUUAAAGAACUGUAUCUCCAAAUCACCGUCUUCUCCCCUCUCUUCCCCUCCCCUUGUCUAUGUUUGUUUUUCUGAAGUUUCUGGCUUGGAAAUCAUUGUGUAACCCAGGCUGACCUCAAACUCACAAUAAUCCUCCUGUCUCAGCUUCCUAAGUGCUGGGAUUGCAGGCACAAGUCACGAGGCCUUUACUUUAUUAGGUAAAAUAAAUUCCAUUUCUAGGGUUAAAGAAUACUGCUCUGCUUUGAGGAGUCUUUACUUCUCUGAAACAGAGGUAACCUUGGAGGAGGAGGAGUCUAGGCAACAAUACGGAUGAUGAAAUCACAGAAUUGUCUAGAGAAAUGCUGGCCCUGAGAAAGGAGAACUCCGGAGGAGGAAGGCUGCAGUAGAGCCUGCUGAGCAUCACCACGUGUGCCCUGGGUUAACCCUUUCUGUACUCUGGAGUGAAGAGACUGUCUUCCUGCCCGACAUGAAUGACAGAGUGAUGUAACCUACCCAAUCACAGAAAAAUCCAUGUUCCUGGUAGCAAGUCACACAUAGCAAACUUAAUUUCUUUGAACCCUCUCCAAAAGUUUAAAAAAUAAAUCUAAAUCUUAUAACAAGGCUUUUCUAAUACCAUAGCUUUUAGAAAAGGUGUAGUCCUGGCUGGCCUGGAACUCACUAUGUAAAAUAGACUGGCCCCAAACAGACAUCCAUGUGCCUCUGCCUCUGAGUGCUGGGAUUAAGAACACAGGCCACAGCUCCCCGUGGAUUCUGUUCUCUCUUGUUGGAACAAGCAGUAGCGUUAGAGGUCUGCUCUUAGUGUUCUUUGGCUGGUGAACCCUGAUAAUACAAUGAGAUCGGGACCAUUUGUUCUCAAGCUGGCUUCCCUUGGGUGAGUCCUACCAGACUCUUUGUCCAAAAUCCUGUUUUGGUUGCCAUCAUCAAAGAACCCAGUGAGACAAGCCCCUCCUUUCGGCCAGGCAUGGUACCAGAAGAACGGGAUUCAAAGGGGCCAGGGCAGAGCCCUCAGUGUGCUUGCAAAGUCAGACACUGAAUAAGCAUAAAGUCAGCAAAUGAUCCAAACAGCAAAUGCAAGAAGGCUAUAAUUUUAUCUAGCAAGGUCAAGGAAUCAAGGUCCCAAUGAAGAGACACUAAAUAAAAAUUAGCUAAACAAAGUAAA